GAAUACUUGGACUUCAUGUACUCUUCAGCUUCCCAAGUGGCCUCUUCAACCUUUUGGUUCUUCUAUCAAACCUUUACUGAAGCCACAUCCUUCUUCACAACUAGCGGACUUGUCGAUCCAAGAUCUCCACCGGGACUUUCUCAGAAGACAAGGAAUCCAAAAUACCUAUACUUUUCAAUGGAACCAUUAUGGAAGAAUCACC
This 202-nucleotide long non-coding RNA is filed under the name Capsicum annuum. RNAcentral's name for it is "long non-coding RNA (CANN_LNC020574)". Lineage: Eukaryota; Viridiplantae; Streptophyta; Magnoliopsida; Solanales; Solanaceae. The record is from RNAcentral.